RNAcentral lists this unclassified non-coding RNA (343 nucleotides) under soil metagenome. RNAcentral describes it as "partial contains 5.8S ribosomal RNA, internal transcribed spacer 2, and large subunit ribosomal RNA". The stretch from base 1 to 120 matches the Rfam family "5.8S ribosomal RNA", at positions 35 to 154 of the family's 154-position model. The record is from RNAcentral.
GAUGAAGAACGUAGCGAAAUGCGAUAAGUAAUGUGAAUUGCAGAAUUCAGUGAAUCAUCGAAUCUUUGAACGCACAUUGCGCCCGCUAGUAUUCUGGCGGGCAUGCCUGUCCGAGCGUCAUUUCAACCCUCAAGCCCCCGGGCUUGGUGUUGGGGAUCGGCGAGCCUCCGCGCCCGCCGUCCCCUAAAUCUAGUGGCGGUCUCGCUGUAGCUUCCUCUGCGUAGUAGCACACCGCGCACUGGGAAACAGCGCGGCCACGCCGUUAAACCCCCAACUUCUGAACGUUUGACCUCGGAUCAGGUAGGAAUACCCGCUGAACUUAAGCAUAUCAAUAAGCGGAGGA